UGCAGGAGCAAUUAAUCUUCUUGUUGUGGCUCGUGUGUAUUUUAUAUUUGCCUUUCUAUCUAAUUUACUUCACAUGUUUCUACAUUUGCUGUGUUCAUGGUGCAGGUUGAAUCAACAGGUUUUAUAUUUUGAAAUUGCAUUCCCUAAAUAGAAUUCCCAGUCUUAUCUUUUGCUCUACAUUUCCAUGGCGGUAAUCAAUUAGAUUA
This 206-nucleotide unclassified non-coding RNA is filed under the name Hevea brasiliensis (rubber tree). The record is from RNAcentral. Lineage: Eukaryota; Viridiplantae; Streptophyta; Magnoliopsida; Malpighiales; Euphorbiaceae.